This 1537-nucleotide ribosomal RNA is filed under the name Acinetobacter baumannii. Its description in RNAcentral is "partial 23S ribosomal RNA". It matches the Rfam family "Bacterial large subunit ribosomal RNA", at positions 1409 to 2925 of the family's 2925-position model. Lineage: Bacteria; Pseudomonadati; Pseudomonadota; Gammaproteobacteria; Moraxellales; Moraxellaceae. The record is from RNAcentral.
GCGUAGUCGAUGGGAAAAUGGUUAAUAUUCCAUUACUUCUGUGUAAUGCGAUGAGAGGACGGAGAAGGCUAAAUCAGCCUGGCGUUGGUUGUCCAGGUGAAAGGAUGUAGGCAUGUAUCUUAGGCAAAUCCGGGGUACUCUAUGCUGAGAUCUGAUAGCAAGCUGUACUUGUACAGCGAAGUGGUUGAUGCCAUGCUUCCAGGAAAAGUCUCUAAGCUUCAGUUACACAGGAAUCGUACCCGAAACCGACACAGGUGGUCAGGUCGAGUAGACCAAGGCGCUUGAGAGAACUCUGCUGAAGGAACUAGGCAAAAUGGUACCGUAACUUCGGGAGAAGGUACGCUGUUGUUGGUGAUGGAACUCGCUUCCUGAGCUGACGACAGCCGCAGAAACCAGGCCGCUGCAACUGUUUAUUAAAAACAUAGCACUCUGCAAACACGAAAGUGGACGUAUAGGGUGUGAUGCCUGCCCGGUGCUGGAAGGUUAAUUGAUGGGGUUAGCGUAAGCGAAGCUCUUGAUCGAAGCCCCAGUAAACGGCGGCCGUAACUAUAACGGUCCUAAGGUAGCGAAAUUCCUUGUCGGGUAAGUUCCGACCUGCACGAAUGGCAUAAUGAUGGCGGCGCUGUCUCCAGCAGAGGCUCAGUGAAAUCGAAAUCGCUGUGAAGAUGCAGUGUACCCGCGGCUAGACGGAAAGACCCCGUGAACCUUUACUGCAGCUUGACACUGAACUUUGACCUUACUUGUGUAGGAUAGGUGGGAGGCUUUGAAGCUGGAACGCUAGUUCCAGUGGAGCCGUCCUUGAAAUACCACCCUGGUAAUGUUGAGGUUCUAACUCUGUCCCGUGAUCCGGGACGAGGACCGUGUCUGGUGGGUAGUUUGACUGGGGCGGUCUCCUCCUAAAGAGUAACGGAGGAGUACGAAGGUGCGCUCAGCGUGGUCGGAAAUCACGCGUAGAGUAUAAAGGCAAAAGCGCGCUUAACUGCGAGACCCACAAGUCGAGCAGGUACGAAAGUAGGUCUUAGUGAUCCGGUGGUUCUGUAUGGAAGGGCCAUCGCUCAACGGAUAAAAGGUACUCUGGGGAUAACAGGCUGAUACCGCCCAAGAGUUCAUAUCGACGGCGGUGUUUGGCACCUCGAUGUCGGCUCAUCUCAUCCUGGGGCUGAAGCAGGUCCCAAGGGUAUGGCUGUUCGCCAUUUAAAGAGGUACGCGAGCUGGGUUUAGAACGUCGUGAGACAGUUCGGUCCCUAUCUACCGUGGGCGCUGGAAAUUUGAGAGGAUCUGCUCCUAGUACGAGAGGACCAGAGUGGACGAACCUCUGGUGUACCGGUUGUGACGCCAGUCGCAUCGCCGGGUAGCUAUGUUCGGAAGGGAUAACCGCUGAAAGCAUCUAAGCGGGAAGCCUACCUCAAGAUAAGAUUUCCCUAGGACUUUAUGUCCUCUAAAGAGCCGUUCGAGACUAGGACGUUGAUAGGUUGGAUGUGGAAGCAUAGUGAUAUGUGAAGCUGACCAAUACUAAUUGCUCGUGAGGCUUGACUAU